Molecule: long non-coding RNA, 409 nt
Organism: Helianthus annuus (common sunflower)
Lineage: Eukaryota; Viridiplantae; Streptophyta; Magnoliopsida; Asterales; Asteraceae
Exons: 2
Source: RefSeq, a predicted model, not a curated record
GAUUUAUAUUUGAUUAUGUUUGUUGUUUCUAACGUUUGUUUUUUUUUUUUAAUUUGAUCAUUAUUGUUGGGCUGAAUGAAACUGGACUUAACGUGUUGAUGGUCUAAAUAAAGUUGGGCUCAAGUGUAUCUGGGCUGAGUGAAGUUGCACAUAAGGUGGAGAAGGUGCCACUCAUCGAUAUAGUCAGCAUGGAACUUUAGAGCAGAUUACUUCAAAAUAUGGUUUUGAAACUUUAGAGCAGAUUACUUCAAAAUAAUUAAAUGUUUGUUGUUACGAGAACAGCACCAUGAUAUAUAUUUAAUUAUGUAAAUACUAUUUUCAUACAUUUAUGUUAUUUAACUGUAUAUUGUUUGUCGUUACGAGAACAACACCAUGAUAUAUAGUUUUGACAUCUAUUUUUUUUCCUUGA